RNAcentral lists this transfer RNA (65 nucleotides) under Bolivaritettix lativertex. RNAcentral describes it as "tRNA-Asn". The record is from RNAcentral. Lineage: Eukaryota; Metazoa; Arthropoda; Insecta; Orthoptera; Tetrigidae. RNAcentral also lists the same sequence under 1 other name.
UUAAUUGAAGCCAAAUAGAGGCUUGUUAAUGUUAAUAACACCAUUGAGAUAUUACUCCAAUUAAA